This 104-nucleotide antisense RNA is filed under the name Pseudoalteromonas translucida TAC125. RNAcentral's name for it is "Pseudoalteromonas haloplanktis TAC125 Vibrio RNA AS9". It matches the Rfam family "Vibrio RNA AS9". From Rfam's summary of the family: Identified by direct cloning an parallel sequencing experiments with 5S/tRNA depletion. Confirmed by Northern blot. The record is from Rfam by way of RNAcentral. Lineage: Bacteria; Pseudomonadati; Pseudomonadota; Gammaproteobacteria; Alteromonadales; Pseudoalteromonadaceae.
UUGCUCGCAUCGCUGUUGCGUCAUAGUUAAACAAAUUAAACCACGGCCAUGCGUGGCCAUAAAGUUAAUAGCUUCUGCGCUAAUAUGCUCGGCGGCAAUAAUUA